Molecule: transfer RNA, 68 nt
Filed under: Plethodon cylindraceus (white-spotted slimy salamander)
Lineage: Eukaryota; Metazoa; Chordata; Amphibia; Caudata; Plethodontidae
Description: tRNA-Trp
Rfam family: tRNA
About the family: Transfer RNA (tRNA) molecules are approximately 80 nucleotides in length.
Source: RNAcentral
AGAAAUUUAAGUUAACAAACUAAAAGCCUUCAAAGCCUAGAGGAGAAGUUAAAACCUUCUAAUUUCUG